AUUGAACGCUGGCGGCAGGCCUAACACAUGCCAGUCGAGCGGAUGAAGGGAGCUUGCUCCUGGAUUCAGCGGCGGACGGGUGAGUAAUGCCUAGGAAUCUGCCUGGUAGUGGGGGAUAACGUCCGGAAACGGGCGCUAAUACCGCAUACGUCCUGAGGGAGAAAGUGGGGGAUCUUCGGACCUCACGCUAUCAGAUGAGCCUAGGUCGGAUUAGCUAGUUGGUGGGGUAAAGGCCUUCCAAGGCGACGAUCCGUAACUGGUCUGAGAGGAUGAUCAGUCACACUGGAACUGAGACACGGUCCAGACUCCUACGGGAGGCAGCAGUGGGGAAUAUUGGACAAUGGGCGAAAGCCUGAUCCAGCCAUGCCGCGUGUGUGAAGAAGGUCUUCGGAUUGUAAAGCACUUUAAGUUGGGAGGAAGGGCAGUAAGUUAAUACCUUGCUGUUUUGACGUUACCAACAGAAUAAGCACCGGCUAACUUCGUG
RNAcentral lists this ribosomal RNA (484 nucleotides) under uncultured bacterium. Its description in RNAcentral is "partial 16S ribosomal RNA". It matches the Rfam family "Bacterial small subunit ribosomal RNA", at positions 30 to 507 of the family's 1533-position model. The record is from RNAcentral.